RNAcentral lists this ribosomal RNA (253 nucleotides) under uncultured bacterium. Its description in RNAcentral is "partial 16S ribosomal RNA". It matches the Rfam family "Bacterial small subunit ribosomal RNA", at positions 524 to 776 of the family's 1533-position model. The record is from RNAcentral.
UACGGGGGGGGUAAGCGUUGUUCGGAAUUACUGGGCGUAAAGGGCGCGUAGGCGGCCAUCUAAGUCAGACGUGAAAUCCCCCGGCUUAACCUGGGAACUGCGUCUGAUACUGGACGGCUUGAGUAUGGGAGAGGGAUGUAGAAUUCCAGGUGUAGCGGUGAAAUGCGUAGAUAUCUGGAGGAAUACCGGUGGCGAAGGCGGCAUCCUGGACCAUUACUGACGCUGAGGCGCGAAAGCUAGGGGAGCAAACGGG